UCUCUGUAGAAUGAAAGUCCAGCAUCUCAACUGUUCCAGAGCCAGCUGUGGGCAUGGGGGGAGUAUGGAGAAGAAUUGAAUACUGCAGGACGCUUAUCCCAUCACUUCUUUAUACAGGGCUUAAUGUGGGAUUUCUAAGCAGGAAGACUGUAAGAAUACUAGUAGAUCAGUCAGUGGAGCAGAGUGUUGUGAACUCCAGUGCAAAGAUCCACAAGCUGCAAAUCUAUAGCAAAGGGAAGACUGUGCACAGAAUCAUGUCAGCAACUAAGUGGAGGAGGAAGUACUUUCUAUGAACAUGGAGAGGAAUUAUGGACAAGCACACUUUGUUUGGAGCACAGGCACUGUACUGCUGAUCUUUGUUGAGACAAACAUCACUUACUGCUAUGAGUGCUGAACCUGACACCAGCAACUUUGACUGCAAAGGUUUGUGAAAUUUCCAAACUUCUCAUAGAAGUUGGUGCAGAAGUUUACCCUAGGUUACCACAAACCAUAGGAGUGGUGAACUUCAGCAGAAAAGUAAAGAAUACAGAUGGGACUGUCUGCCUUGCUUAUACUGUUGCAGCUAAUUUUGACAGAGGCUGUGAACCAGAGCACGAAGUCUGAAAAAAGUACCAGAGGUUUGGAGUAUCUUCUUUGGACUUUAGUGCUUGUAUGAAUCAAGCCUUCAGACUGGACACGUCCUGGACAUGACAUGGCCUGCAUGUGAAGGCAGUAGGGGAAAUGGAAAGCAAAUGGGAAUCUGGAGAAAGAGGUCCAAUUUUUCCUCAGUGAUGCUGGAGUAACCCAAAAUGGAGGAUCCUUCGUGUCCAAAUGCAUGAGAGAGACAGUGACUGCUGCCUGGCUGUGCUUGCUCUGUCUGGUAGUGACUGGAGCAUGCUGCAUCCUCCAGUUGCCUUCUGCCCACGGUAAAGGUUUUUAGAGCUUCUCACAUCGAGUACAAGCAACACUGUAUUAAAUCAGUUUCCUGUCAGCUGGCACAAGGCCUUGAAGUGGUUUGGGAGGGGGAAUGCAAACACUGCAUGCCUGCUUCCAGCCUCUGCCCAAAAUGCACUCAAUCCCACCAGUGCUACCAUUGGGUUUGUUUCUGGGCUACAACCAAGUGUUUAGACAGGGCUACAGGUUACACAGACGUGCAGUUUCUUUGCAUCGGCCCAGGCACAGCAAUGCCCUUAGUUUAGGUCCUCAGUUCCUCAGUGGGAAACAUCUGAAGCCUGGUCACAUGCAAAUAAAUAUUCCCAGUGGAUAAGAGGGAGGAAAAAGAGAGAGAGAGGGAAGAGCUAAGGCAAAGGCUUGACUGACUGCAAAUGGGAGAAGUGAACAGGCACUGAGUUGCAAAGUCUGGAUUUUUCUAGCAAUCUUGUGGU
This is a long non-coding RNA of Motacilla alba alba, 1364 nucleotides long. RefSeq lists it as uncharacterized. The transcript has 3 exons. The record is from RefSeq and is a predicted model, not a curated record. NCBI's taxonomy places the organism in Eukaryota, Metazoa, Chordata, Aves, Passeriformes, Motacillidae.